RNAcentral lists this ribosomal RNA (353 nucleotides) under uncultured Prochlorococcus sp. Its description in RNAcentral is "bacterial SSU rRNA". It matches the Rfam family "Bacterial small subunit ribosomal RNA", at positions 9 to 390 of the family's 1533-position model. Lineage: Bacteria; Bacillati; Cyanobacteriota; Cyanophyceae; Synechococcales; Prochlorococcaceae. The record is from RNAcentral.
GAGUUUGAUCAUGGCUCAGGAUGAACGCUGGCGGCGUGCUUAACACAUGCAAGUCGAACGAACCUUCGGGUUAGUGGCGGACGGGUGAGUAACGCGUGAGAAUCUGCCCUCAGGAGGGGGGAUAACGGUUGGAAACGACCGGCUAAUACCCCAUAUGCCUACUGGUGAAAUGAAUUUCGCCUGAGGAUGAGCUCGCGUCUGAUUAGCUAGUUGGUGAGGUAAUGGCUCACCAAGGCUUCGAUCAGUAGCUGGUCUGAGAGGAUGAUCAGCCACACUGGGACUGAGACACGGCCCAGACUCCUACGGGAGGCAGCAGUGGGGAAUUUUCCGCAACUGGGCGAAAGCCUGACGGA